GAAAGAGAAAAAAAUGUUACAACCUGUGUGCCUGUACAAACAUAUAAUGAAUACUUUUUCAUACCUAGAGAAGACAAGAAUGCCUAUGCGUGUUGUAGACUUACUUCAACUAUCCAGGCAUCAAGCAACAGAAAAGGAAAUAAGGGUAAGGUGUCCUUAGUGGCUGCUCCAAGGGUCCUUGGAGACCCUUAUCAUGUUCAAAGUUAUCUUUACUUGUUAUUAUACCAUCACUAAACAAGGGUCACCAUGAUUUAGCUGGCAUACUAGUUAUCAUAAGGGGGCCAUAAAUCUGGUCUUUCCUCUGGUAUAACAGGACCAUCUGUCGAUUCCUUUUCUAGAUGGUCAUUGCAUAGUCAGGAAGCAUCAGCAGGAUCUCUAUCUGCAACUCUACCCUACUUUGCUCCAGAAAUACAAGAACUAGUGAUUUCUCCUGGUGACUGUUCCACACACGAACCAGAGAUAGUCUUCCUGCACAUAAGACCAGUUGCAGAUUGGCUGGCCUUCCCUUCCAUCUGCUAUUCUCCCCACCGUCCAACCUUUGUCUCGACUAUAAUCACAUGGUAUUUUCUGAGCCAAAAGUGUCCAACUGACCCAGAAUUCCUGAGCCACAACACAGAUUACAAGACCAAGCCUUGCCACUUGGCCACCACACCUGACUCUGUUUAAGAUUAAAGGGAAGGAAUGCGGAGGAGGCUUCAUCACUACAAGCAGGAGUGAAAGGACAUGUGCAUAAAACCAAGCUGUGGACAACUAGUUCGCCAUCUCGUCACAAUACCAAUGAGCCAACUUUUAUAUUCGAUGCAGAAAUACUGUCUUAUUUAUCUGAUGUUUUACAGACACCGAGUUUCCACUUAGACAGUUGUCCAGGGCCCUGAAUCACUUACUUUAAUUAUGCUAACACCAGUGAAUGCGGUCAAGAAAUUCCAAGUACCUGAUCUAAUAACACGAUCCAAGUCUUUGCCAUUUCAUGGCCAAUCUUAAGAGUUUCACUUUGAGCAGUUACUCUAAAAGUUUUCUCUUUUUUUCUGUCAUGUAGCAGAAGUGUGCUAUUGGAUACAUCACUGAUUUUAAUUUUUUUUCUUUAGGAAAAGCCAAAAUAAUACUUCAUCCUGUCUUUAAAUACAUAUUAGUGAUGUGUAGCAAAUGAGACAAAAUUUAUAAACUAAAAUGCCACCCAAAUGGUAGUUUGAUGCUUUUUGUUCUGUUUGACUCUGUUGUCAGGAAAACCAGACAUAUGUGUUGUGAAUACAUUUUUUGAAAAAAAAAAAAAAAAAAACCAAGGUCCUUGUUGAGUAAGGUACAAGUUUAUAUUACAAGGAUGAGUCAAAUGAUCCCUCAUAGGCAUGUGGCAAUUAAGCUGAUUUUUUUUUGUUACAUCCCUCUCGCUGAAUUAGCCCUUUUAUAUAAUGUCAUGUAUCCAUCAUUACAAUAUCAUACAGAAAAGUUUCACUGCCCGAAACAUUCUUUGUGCCACAUCUAUUCAUCCCUCCCUCCCUACUAACCCCUGGAAACCACUAAUCUUUUUACUAUCUUCAUAGUUAUGCCAUUCCCAGAAUGUCAUACAGUUGGAAUCAUACAGUAUGUAACCUUUUCAGAUUUGCUUCUUUCACUUAGUAAUACUCAUUGAAAGUUGCUUCGCGCGCGCGCGCGCGUGUGUG
RNAcentral lists this long non-coding RNA (1658 nucleotides) under Felis catus (domestic cat). RNAcentral describes it as "lncRNA (ENSFCAG00000044512.2)". Lineage: Eukaryota; Metazoa; Chordata; Mammalia; Carnivora; Felidae. The record is from RNAcentral.